Caenorhabditis elegans is the source of this 202-nucleotide non-coding RNA. NCBI's taxonomy places the organism in Eukaryota, Metazoa, Nematoda, Chromadorea, Rhabditida, Rhabditidae. The record is from Ensembl.
UGUUCAAGAAACGAGGUGCGAUUUUGUGAAUAGCCCCGGGUGGUCAGGUCGUCGCCGGAGAGACAAAUUCCGAGAGGGACAAACAUAGAGAGAAGAGAGAAAGCGAGUCAACCUUCCUUUAACUAAAGGAAGUCUCGGGGGCCGCCCAUUCGGUCAGCGCAAGAGGUCUUUCCCUUCGGGAUCAUCUCACACACUAGGUCAA